This 263-nucleotide ribosomal RNA is filed under the name uncultured bacterium. RNAcentral's name for it is "partial 16S ribosomal RNA". It matches the Rfam family "Bacterial small subunit ribosomal RNA", at positions 793 to 1055 of the family's 1533-position model. The record is from RNAcentral.
GUCCUAGCUGUAAACGAUGCAAACUAGGUGUGGGGGGUUACUCCCUCUGUGCCGCAGCUAACGCAGAAGUUUGCCGCCUGGGGAGUACGGCCGCAAGGUUGAAACUCAAAAGAAUUGACGGGGGCCCGCACAAGCAGUGGAUCAUGUGGUUCAAUUCGAUGCUACACGAAGAACCUUACCUAGGCUUGACAUCCUAUCAGUAGGCGGUGGAAACACUUGCCGACCGUAAAUCGGAGGUAGGACAGGUGCUGCAUGGUUGUCGU